CCUGAACGCUGGCGGCGUGGCUAAGACAUGCAAGUCGCACGGGGUAGCAAUACCCAGUGGCGAACGGGAGAGUAAUGAAUCGCUAAUGUACCCCGGACUCUGGGAGUAGCUGCCCGAAACGGGACGAGGUAAUACCAGAUAAUAUAACCUUGUCGCAUGACCGGGUUCUCAAAGGUCCGCCGGCAACGGUAGGAACGGUACUGGGAGCAGGCGAUUUCGUAUCAGCUAGUU
Molecule: ribosomal RNA, 231 nt
Filed under: uncultured bacterium
Lineage: Bacteria
Description: partial 16S ribosomal RNA
Rfam family: Bacterial small subunit ribosomal RNA
Source: RNAcentral